AUCCUCAGCUACACCACCCAUAUCAGAAAGAUCAAUCUGUAUUUGCGGAGUUAUUUGUUUCUCAAACUGAAAUGUACUUGUAUUAGUCUCAACAUUGAUGUUUUCCUUGCCUCAAGAUUGCAUCAAUUGGAAGUGGUUUUCCUUUACCAAUAUAAUCAGUUACUCAAAUUUCUUGUCAACCUAAGUUUUCAAAUGUCCUUUCAACUUUUCAAUAUAUGGAAUUACAUAGUUAACUUUCUGAGAAUCUGCA
Molecule: unclassified non-coding RNA, 250 nt
Filed under: Hevea brasiliensis (rubber tree)
Lineage: Eukaryota; Viridiplantae; Streptophyta; Magnoliopsida; Malpighiales; Euphorbiaceae
Source: RNAcentral